AGAGUUUGAUCCUGGCUCAGGAUGAACGCUGGCGGCGUGCCUAAUACAUGCAAGUCGAGCGAACGGACGAGAAGCUUGCUUCUCUGAUGUUAGCGGCGGACGGGUGAGUAACACGUGGAUAACCUACCUAUAAGACUGGGAUAACUUCGGGAAACCGGAGCUAAUACCGGAUAAUAUUUUGAACCGCAUGGUUCAAAAGUGAAAGACGGUCUUGCUGUCACUUAUAGAUGGAUCCGCGCUGCAUUAGCUAGUUGGUAAGGUAACGGCUUACCAAGGCAACGAUGCAUAGCCGACCUGAGAGGGUGAUCGGCCACACUGGAACUGAGACACGGUCCAGACUCCUACGGGAGGCAGCAGUAGGGAAUCUUCCGCAAUGGGCGAAAGCCUGACGGAGCAACGCCGCGUGAGUGAUGAAGGUCUUCGGAUCGUAAAACUCUGUUAUUAGGGAAGAACAUAUGUGUAAGUAACUGUGCACAUCUUGACGGUACCUAAUCAGAAAGCCACGGCUAACUACGUGCCAGCAGCCGCGGUAAUACGUAGGUGGCAAGCGUUAUCCGGAAUUAUUGGGCGUAAAGCGCGCGUAGGCGGUUUUUUAAGUCUGAUGUGAAAGCCCACGGCUCAACCGUGGAGGGUCAUUGGAAACUGGAAAACUUGAGUGCAGAAGAGGAAAGUGGAAUUCCAUGUGUAGCGGUGAAAUGCGCAGAGAUAUGGAGGAACACCAGUGGCGAAGGCGACUUUCUGGUCUGUAACUGACGCUGAUGUGCGAAAGCGUGGGGAUCAAACAGGAUUAGAUACCCUGGUAGUCCACGCCGUAAACGAUGAGUGCUAAGUGUUAGGGGGUUUCCGCCCCUUAGUGCUGCAGCUAACGCAUUAAGCACUCCGCCUGGGGAGUACGACCGCAAGGUUGAAACUCAAAGGAAUUGACGGGGACCCGCACAAGCGGUGGAGCAUGUGGUUUAAUUCGAAGCAACGCGAAGAACCUUACCAAAUCUUGACAUCCUUUGACAACUCUAGAGAUAGAGCCUUCCCCUUCGGGGGACAAAGUGACAGGUGGUGCAUGGUUGUCGUCAGCUCGUGUCGUGAGAUGUUGGGUUAAGUCCCGCAACGAGCGCAACCCUUAAGCUUAGUUGCCAUCAUUAAGUUGGGCACUCUAAGUUGACUGCCGGUGACAAACCGGAGGAAGGUGGGGAUGACGUCAAAUCAUCAUGCCCCUUAUGAUUUGGGCUACACACGUGCUACAAUGGACAAUACAAAGGGCAGCGAAACCGCGAGGUCAAGCAAAUCCCAUAAAGUUGUUCUCAGUUCGGAUUGUAGUCUGCAACUCGACUACAUGAAGCUGGAAUCGCUAGUAAUCGUAGAUCAGCAUGCUACGGUGAAUACGUUCCCGGGUCUUGUACACACCGCCCGUCACACCACGAGAGUUUGUAACACCCGAAGCCGGUGGAGUAACCUUUUAGGAGCUAGCCGUCGAAGGUGGGACAAAUGAUUGGGGUGAAGUCGUAACAAGGUAGCCGUAUCGGAAGGUGCGGCUGG
Molecule: ribosomal RNA, 1533 nt
Filed under: Staphylococcus aureus VET0066R
Lineage: Bacteria; Bacillati; Bacillota; Bacilli; Caryophanales; Staphylococcaceae
Also listed under: 1 other name
Description: partial 16S ribosomal RNA
Rfam family: Bacterial small subunit ribosomal RNA
Source: RNAcentral